AUUGAACGCUGGCGGCAUGCUUUACACAUGCAAGUCGAACGGCAGCGCGGGCUUCGGCCUGGCGGCGAGUGGCGAACGGGUGAGUAAUGCAUCGGAACGUGCCCAGUAGUGGGGGAUAGCCCGGCGAAAGCCGGAUUAAUACCGCAUACGACCUGAGGGUGAAAGCGGGGGACCGAAAGGCCUCGCGCUAUUGGAGCGGCCGAUGUCGGAUUAGCUAGUUGGUGGGGUAAAGGCUUACCAAGGCGACGAUCCGUAGCUGGUCUGAGAGGACGACCAGCCACACUGGGACUGAGACACGGCCCAGACUCCUACGGGAGGCAGCAGUGGGGAAUUUUGGACAAUGGGGGCAACCCUGAUCCAGCCAUGCCGCGGGCGGGAAGAAGGCCUUCGGGUUGUAAACCGCUUUUGUUCGGGAAGAAAUCCUCUGGGCUAAUACCCCGGGGGGAUGACGGUACCGGAAGAAUAAGCACCGGCGAACUACGU
RNAcentral lists this ribosomal RNA (483 nucleotides) under uncultured bacterium. Its description in RNAcentral is "partial 16S ribosomal RNA". It matches the Rfam family "Bacterial small subunit ribosomal RNA", at positions 28 to 506 of the family's 1533-position model. The record is from RNAcentral.